AAGGGUAUAGCUCAGUGGUAGAGCACAUGCUUAGCAUGCACGAGGUCCUGGGUUCAAUCCCCAGUGCCUCCA
Molecule: transfer RNA, 72 nt
Filed under: Camelus bactrianus (Bactrian camel)
Lineage: Eukaryota; Metazoa; Chordata; Mammalia; Artiodactyla; Camelidae
Also listed under: 1 other name
Rfam family: tRNA
About the family: Transfer RNA (tRNA) molecules are approximately 80 nucleotides in length. Their secondary structure includes four short double-helical elements and three loops (D, anti-codon, and T loops). Further hydrogen bonds mediate the characteristic L-shaped molecular structure. tRNAs have two regions of fundamental functional importance: the anti-codon, which is responsible for specific mRNA codon recognition, and the 3' end, to which the tRNAs corresponding amino acid is attached (by aminoacyl-tRNA synthetases). tRNAs cope with the degeneracy of the genetic code in two manners: having more than one tRNA (with a specific anti-codon) for a particular amino acid; and 'wobble' base-pairing, i.e. permitting non-standard base-pairing at the 3rd anti-codon position.
Source: Rfam by way of RNAcentral